AGAAUCAACGCUGGCGGCGUGCCUCAGACAUGCAAGUCGAACGAUUAAAGCUCUCUUCGGAGAGUGUAUAGAGUGGCGCACGGGUGAGUAACACGUAAGUAAUCUACCUUUGAGUGGGGAAUAACCCGGGGAAACCCGAGCUAAUACCGCAUAAUGCAGCGGCAUCUAAUGAUGACAGUUGUUAAAGAAAUUUAUUUCGCUUGAAGAGGAGCUUGCGGCAGAUUAGCUAGUUGGUAAGGUAACGGCUUACCAAGGCUACGAUCUGUAACCGGUCUAAGAGGACGGUCGGUCACACUGACACUGAAUAACGGGUCAGACUCCUACGGGAGGCAGCAGUCGGGAAUUUUGAGCAAUGGGCGAAAGCCUGACCCAGCAACGCCGCGUGAAGGAUGAAGUAUUUCGGUAUGUAAACUUCGAAAGAAGUGGAAGAAUCAAUGACGUACCAUUUAUAAGGUCCGACUAACUACGUGCCAGCAGCCGC
RNAcentral lists this ribosomal RNA (481 nucleotides) under uncultured soil bacterium. RNAcentral describes it as "bacterial SSU rRNA". It matches the Rfam family "Bacterial small subunit ribosomal RNA", at positions 26 to 518 of the family's 1533-position model. The record is from RNAcentral.